UGAUCCAACGACUGACAUGAAGUUUCCCUUAUUUCCUUUUAAAUCACCCAAAUCUAACCCUAAUACCCGUUGCUAAAAAAUUCAGCCACACCUUCUUCUUCUCUCUCUCUACACCCAAAACUAUUAUGACUAUCUGCCGCUGAGACCAUCGGAUAGCCGACAACAGUCACCAUGACCGCUCCACCAUUUUUGGCCAAAUCGGCGCCAUCGCACCGGUGAACCAUCCAGCAACCGCACCUCCACAUCAUCACAAAUCCGGCAAAAUUUCGCCAGCCACUGGCGAGCCCCUCCGGUAAUGCCUUUCUCUCUCUUUCGUCCCCAACCAGCGCGCCACUUCCUGUUCAAACCGCUGCCGCUGACCUCUUUUUUGCCAAAAAUAAUGGGUUCUCAAGAACCCAUUCACAGAUCCUAUUGAGCAUUCAAGAUGGAUGAAAAGUUGUUUGAGAAUUGGGGAGGGGCUGCCUAUUUUUUUAGUUCAAUUUAUCUUUUCUUUUAUUAUUCGUUUGUAUGUAAAAUUUGUAUAAACUUCUAUAUGUAUUAAUAAAUUAUGGGGAUUGCCUGGGGAGCGGGGUUUAUGUA
Long non-coding RNA from Capsicum annuum, 579 nucleotides. RefSeq lists it as uncharacterized. The transcript is spliced from 2 exons. The record is from RefSeq and is a predicted model, not a curated record. Lineage: Eukaryota; Viridiplantae; Streptophyta; Magnoliopsida; Solanales; Solanaceae.